GAUGAACGCUGGCGGCGUGCCUAAUACAUGCAAGUCGAGCGAACAGACGAGGAGCUUGCUCCUCUGACGUUAGCGGCGGACGGGUGAGUAACACGUGGAUAACCUACCUAUAAGACUGGGAUAACUUCGGGAAACCGGAGCUAAUACCGGAUAAUAUAUUGAACCGCAUGGUUCAAUAGUGAAAGACGGUUUUGCUGUCACUUAUAGAUGGAUCCGCGCCGCAUUAGCUAGUUGGUAAGGUAACGGCUUACCAAGGCGACGAUGCGUAGCCGACCUGAGAGGGUGAUCGGCCACACUGGAACUGAGACACGGUCCAGACUCCUACGGGAGGCAGCAGUAGGGAAUCUUCCGCAAUGGGCGAAAGCCUGACGGAGCAACGCCGCGUGAGUGAUGAAGGUCUUCGGAUCGUAAAACUCUGUUAUUAGGGAAGAACAAAUGUGUAAGUAACUAUGCACGUCUUGAUGGUACCUAAUCAGAAAGCCACGGUUAACUACGUG
This 497-nucleotide ribosomal RNA is filed under the name uncultured bacterium. RNAcentral's name for it is "partial 16S ribosomal RNA". It matches the Rfam family "Bacterial small subunit ribosomal RNA", at positions 28 to 507 of the family's 1533-position model. The record is from RNAcentral.